UACGUUCCCGGGCCUUGUACACACCGCCCGUCACACCACGAAAGUCGGCAACACCCGAAGCCGGUGGCCUAACCGCUAAGGAAGGAGCCGUCGAAGGUGGGGUCGGUGAUUGGGGUGAAGUCGUAAACAAGGUACC
This 136-nucleotide ribosomal RNA is filed under the name uncultured bacterium. Its description in RNAcentral is "partial 16S ribosomal RNA". It matches the Rfam family "Bacterial small subunit ribosomal RNA", at positions 1367 to 1500 of the family's 1533-position model. The record is from RNAcentral.